RNAcentral lists this microRNA precursor (97 nucleotides) under Nicotiana sylvestris (wood tobacco). RNAcentral describes it as "MIR6152 microRNA precursor family". It matches the Rfam family "MIR6152 microRNA precursor family". The record is from Rfam by way of RNAcentral. Lineage: Eukaryota; Viridiplantae; Streptophyta; Magnoliopsida; Solanales; Solanaceae.
UGGACAAAUUAUUGUAUUCGACUGUAUUCACUGCGUAAAAUAGGAGAUUACACUAUUUUUAAAACAGAAAGUGAAACAAUUAACAUAAUGGACUCCU